RNAcentral lists this transfer RNA (69 nucleotides) under Venturia effusa. RNAcentral describes it as "tRNA-Gly". Lineage: Eukaryota; Fungi; Ascomycota; Dothideomycetes; Venturiales; Venturiaceae. The record is from RNAcentral.
GGUUUAGUGGUAAAAUCCGUGCUUGCCAUCAAGUAAGAUGCACGGGCCCCGAGUUCGAUUCUCGGUCCA